Molecule: ribosomal RNA, 468 nt
Filed under: uncultured bacterium
Lineage: Bacteria
Description: partial 16S ribosomal RNA
Rfam family: Bacterial small subunit ribosomal RNA
Source: RNAcentral
GACGAACGCUGGCGGCGUGCUUAACACAUGCAAGUCGAACGGAAAGGCCUUGCUUUUGUGGGGUGCUCGAGUGGCGAACGGGUGAGUAACACGUGAGUAACCUGCCCUUGACUUUGGGAUAACUUCAGGAAACUGGGGCUAAUACCGGAUAGGAGCUCCUGCUGCAUGGUGGGGGUUGGAAAGUUUCGGCGGUUGGGGAUGGACUCGCGGCUUAUCAGCUUGUUGGUGGGGUAGUGGCUUACCAAGGCUUUGACGGGUAGCCGGCCUGAGAGGGUGACCGGCCACAUUGGGACUGAGAUACGGCCCAGACUCCUACGGGAGGCAGCAGUGGGGAAUAUUGCACAAUGGGCGGAAGCCUGAUGCAGCAACGCCGCGUGCGGGAUGACGGCCUUCGGGUUGUAAACCGCCUUCGCCUGUGACGAAGCGUGAGUGACGGUAAUGGGUAAAGAAGCACCGGCUAACUACGUG